UUAUUUUUCGUUUUUGGUGUUUAGGCAUUGAGCUUUAUUGUGCACCUACUGCUGAUGGUUCGAAAGAAUGGCAAUCGUCGAUGCUUCACAUUGCGAUCGAAGGUGGAUGUUUCGUCUUGUCGGCUUGCCAAUUCUGCCAGCGUAAACAUUUCCCUGAUCAUCCUGACUACUUGUUUACCGAUUGGUACGACGACAAAGAACAUGAUUCUAUUGUCUCCCAAGGUGGAAGUGUCAUUAUUUCACCUUUGGGACAAGUUCUCGCCGGACCAAACUUUGAAUCAGAGGGUCUCGUCACAGCUGAUAUUGGUAUGUAUAUGUAUAUUUACACUCUCAUUUGAUAGUCAUCUUAGGUUAUAGAAAAGGAUAACGUUUUUUUUUUUUUUUCCAUCAAGAUCUUGGUGAUAUAGCAAGAGCCAAGUUAUACUUCGAUUCGGUUGGACAUUACUCGAGACCAGAUGUUUUACACUUGACCGUAAAUGAGCACCCGAGGAAAUCGGUUACAUUCGUGACGAAGGUGGAGAAAGCUGAGGAUGACUCAAACAAAUAGUAAGAGACUUGAAGUUCGUAUCUGCUGGAGUUAUGUCAAUCGUAUGGAGUCAAGUCCAAAAUGUUCUGUUGCGUUUUCAUUUUAUGUUCAAGUUUAUUUAUCUUUCUCUUCAAUGGUAAGAUCUAUGGAGUCAAGUAAUAAUGGUAAGACUUAUGUUGUUGAAUAAAACGAAUUGGUUCUCUCCUCUUGUAUUUUAAAACUGUGCCAUUAUGUUUAUCUAAUUUGGGCGUUGGGCGUUGAAUCUCAAUUGUUGUUCAGCCGUAUA
This 812-nucleotide small RNA is filed under the name Arabidopsis thaliana (thale cress). RNAcentral's name for it is "ATSL172130". The record is from RNAcentral. Lineage: Eukaryota; Viridiplantae; Streptophyta; Magnoliopsida; Brassicales; Brassicaceae.